CAAUAAUCACUCAUAACGCCACUAUCCUACGAAAAAUAAUUUCUCUUUCUUUGCUUUUAUAUUCAUUUGAGCUUCGGGAGUAGGUUCCACUGCCACAUGACAUGAUAACAAGUAGCAUAAUAUAUACUUUGAUAAGAGGAUAACGAUGAAGAGAUAAUUAUGAAAGAAAUGUUAUUCUUUUCUCAUUUUUUUUCUUUUGGCAUUCUAGUUUUCUUUCACAGCAUUUCGAUUCAUUUUAUUAAAUAAAUAAACCCAAUAACGUUUCCAAGGUCUUAUUCAUUAAUCCUGCAGAUAAGAAUGCGUGGGUUUUUCGUCUGACAACGAUGGUGUGAACGUGGCAGAUAAACUUUUGUUUUCUGGCCAUGCCGACGCAUGAAACUUUUAAGUUUCCAGGAUUUUCCAUCACAAAGACAAAGGCAAUCAAUUUAUGGCGAAGUUUUCAAGUCAUCUUUCCCUCCUGUACGUCUGUCAGGUGUCUAGUUUCCGACAUUUUCUGUUAAAUUUCCAAAUUAAUAACUACAUCAUCAAGAACUUUCUCUUCAAUUUUAUUCAUUUAGAUGUUGGAUUAAUUAAAUAUAUUAUCGGCUUGCUGAUGUUCAUAUAUAAACUUUUACAGGUCGCCGCUAAAGUAUUUGAAGGGAUACAGGAAAUGAACAAAGUAAUAUCCCCUACUUUACUAAGUCAAAACAGACAAAGAAGGAGAAGGAGAGGAGGUUCUGCUCAUUUUCCCAUCACAUUCGCAAAAGGAUCAGUCAAUUGCAUGUGUUUUUCACACUUUUCCUGCAAGUAGUCUUCCUCCUUUCUUUAUAAUAUGAAUUGACAGCAAUUAUAAUUAAGAUUAAAUUAAAAUAUACAUAUCUAGAUAAUGGAAUCCAAUGUCUAAAAUAUUAUUAAUUCAUAUAAUCAUAUCAUAAUAUUAAAUAAAUUUUAACGUAUUAAUAAUUUUUUAUCUCUAAAAUACGAUUUUUUUUUUUUACAAAAAAUUAGGAAUUAAGAGGCAAUUAAAUAAAUAAAGACUAAAGCAAAAGAAAAUAGAAGAAUAUGCUUCUUUUCCUUGUAUUUUCUCCUUCAUUUAACCUUUUAAAAGCAGUUUAUAUGGAAAAAAUUUUUUAAUGAGAGUUUUAUUUAGACGUCACAACUGUAACAUGCAUGGAACUUUACAUUUGGAUGCAUUGAAUGUAAAUAAAUCAAACAGGAAAAGGAAAAAAAAAUCAGAUAAAAAAAAGACAAAAAAUUAAGAAACAAAUGCUUGUGCAAUAAUUUGAUGUUGUUGUUUUUCAAUUUUCACAGCUAAUAAUGUUAAUUUGGAACAGAACAUAAAAGGCCAAAAAAAAAAAAGUUAAACCAAUUACCAUCAAAUGAUUACCUUAUAACACUAUAAAAGAAAAAGAAAAUUAAAGAUGAUAUGUAUAGUUUCGUCAUCCAAUCACUUGAACAACAUGUAAUUUUAUAUAGAAUUAAGAAAUCACACUGUCAAUGUAUAAAAAUGAAUUUAUAAAUGAAUUCAUGAAUUUACUUCUUUCUACCAAAUAAUAGUUAAUUUUGGAAUAUGAUAAGAUUGAUCUUGAUAGAAAUAAAAUGGAUAUCGUUGACAUGACAUAUAAAUUAUGUGCUUAGACUUGGGACAACCUUUAGGGGACCGCAAGUAAAUGUCAUGAACACUAACAUUAGUUUUCACUAUGAAAUUAUUUGGUAAAGAGAAAUUUUCAACACCAAAUUGAUCUUCGUAGAAAUACAAUGGAUAUUGUUGGCAGGCACUUUCUAUACGCAAUUGUAUUUUAUUCAUGGACCAUGCCAACCCUUAAUAUCCUAUAAAAUAAAACUUUUUUUUUCUUUUCAAGACAAAAUGAUUGUAGUAAAAAAGAAAUUUAAACCUGAAAAUCUCUUUCUAGAAGCAUGGGUUUGUCAAUUUCAUAAUUUAAAGAUGAAUAGAGUUAUACUGUUUAAAUUUAAAGUUGCAACAUGUUUGAAAAUAUUUCAAAGAGAUGAUAACUAGAUAUGGUAAUUUAUAUCAAAAUUUUAAAUCAUAUUAUUUUAUAUAUU
RNAcentral lists this long non-coding RNA (2043 nucleotides) under Durio zibethinus. RNAcentral describes it as "long non-coding RNA (DZIB_LNC000061)". Lineage: Eukaryota; Viridiplantae; Streptophyta; Magnoliopsida; Malvales; Malvaceae. The record is from RNAcentral.